RNAcentral lists this small nucleolar RNA (135 nucleotides) under Phocoena sinus (vaquita). Its description in RNAcentral is "Small nucleolar RNA SNORA70 (ENSPSNG00000020715.1)". It matches the Rfam family "Small nucleolar RNA SNORA70". Rfam says of the family: snoRNA U70 seems to be exclusive to mammals and is a member of the H/ACA class of snoRNA which contain H (ANANNA) and ACA box motifs. H/ACA box snoRNAs are involved in the conversion of uridines to pseudouridines (5-ribosyluracil) a constituent of structural RNAs (transfer, ribosomal, small nuclear, and small nucleolar). Lineage: Eukaryota; Metazoa; Chordata; Mammalia; Artiodactyla; Phocoenidae. The record is from Rfam by way of RNAcentral.
UUGCAGCCAAUUAAGCCAACCAUGCUCUUUUCUCCGUGGGGGCCCGGUGUGCAAUGGCUGCAAACAGCAGCCUCCUCCGUAAUGUAUGCAGCCUGUUGCCUGUAUGGGUUGCCCUAAGAGAUCCUGGAAACAGCC